Molecule: transfer RNA, 79 nt
Filed under: Caudoviricetes sp.
Lineage: Duplodnaviria; Heunggongvirae; Uroviricota; Caudoviricetes
Description: tRNA-OTHER
Rfam family: tRNA
About the family: Transfer RNA (tRNA) molecules are approximately 80 nucleotides in length. Their secondary structure includes four short double-helical elements and three loops (D, anti-codon, and T loops). Further hydrogen bonds mediate the characteristic L-shaped molecular structure. tRNAs have two regions of fundamental functional importance: the anti-codon, which is responsible for specific mRNA codon recognition, and the 3' end, to which the tRNAs corresponding amino acid is attached (by aminoacyl-tRNA synthetases). tRNAs cope with the degeneracy of the genetic code in two manners: having more than one tRNA (with a specific anti-codon) for a particular amino acid; and 'wobble' base-pairing, i.e. permitting non-standard base-pairing at the 3rd anti-codon position.
Source: RNAcentral
GCGCCCAUAGCUUAAAUGACAAAGCCGCAGUCUCUAAAACUGCCAUUUCUUGUAGGUUCAAAUCCUGCUGGGCGUGCCA